RNAcentral lists this ribosomal RNA (451 nucleotides) under uncultured bacterium. RNAcentral's name for it is "partial 16S ribosomal RNA". It matches the Rfam family "Bacterial small subunit ribosomal RNA", at positions 354 to 796 of the family's 1533-position model. The record is from RNAcentral.
GUGGGGAAUAUUGGACAAUGGGCGCAAGCCUGAUCCAGCCAUGCCGCGUGUGUGAAGAAGGCCUUUUGGUUGUAAAGCACUUUAAGCGAGGAGGAGGCUCCUUUAGUUAAUACCUAAAGAGAGUGGACGUUACUCGCAGAAUAAGCACCGGCUAACUCUGUGCCAGCAGCCGCGGUAAUACAGAGGGUGCGAGCGUUAAUCGGAUUUACUGUGCGUAAAGCGUGCGUAGGCGGCUUUUUAAGUCGGAUGUGAAAUCCCUGAGCUUAACUUAGGAAUUGCAUUCGAUACUGGAAAGCUAGAGUAUGGGAGAGGAUGGUAGAAUUCCAGGUGUAGCGGUGAAAUGCGUAGAGAUCUGGAGGAAUACCGAUGGCGAAGGCAGCCAUCUGGCCUAAUACUGACGCUGAGGUACGAAAGCAUGGGGAGCAAACAGGAUUAGAAACCCGUGUAGUCC